RNAcentral lists this transfer RNA (73 nucleotides) under Pseudomonadales bacterium. RNAcentral's name for it is "tRNA-Asn". It matches the Rfam family "tRNA". Rfam says of the family: Transfer RNA (tRNA) molecules are approximately 80 nucleotides in length. Their secondary structure includes four short double-helical elements and three loops (D, anti-codon, and T loops). The record is from RNAcentral. Lineage: Bacteria; Pseudomonadati; Pseudomonadota; Gammaproteobacteria; Pseudomonadales.
UGACCUAUAGCUCAGUUGGUAGAGCACGGAGCUGUUAACUCUGUUGUCCUAGGUUCGAGUCCUAGUGGGUCAG